AUCUUAGUAGUGUAUAUAACACACUUCAUUUUCGUUGAAGAGAAGAAAACUCUUUUUCCUGAGAUA
RNAcentral lists this transfer RNA (66 nucleotides) under Striatobalanus amaryllis. Its description in RNAcentral is "tRNA-Glu". The record is from RNAcentral. Lineage: Eukaryota; Metazoa; Arthropoda; Thecostraca; Balanomorpha; Balanidae.